CAGGAUGAGAUCCAUGGGUAAAUCGAGGCGGAGGUUCCCCCGGAGUACCGAACUGGCCAUAGUACUACGGCUUCGUUCCCCCACGAGCCACGAGUAGCGCAAUCUUCGUGGUCUGGUCUUCCAAGUCAAGUUCACCACCCUUUCCACCACCGUCUUCCUCCCCACGCUGAAUAUAAAUACCUCCGCCUCCUCCGGUCCUCCCCUCUACGCCUCACCAAACCCAAAACCACCGCCUCGUCGAUCCCACAUUCCACCUUCCCUCCCGUUUCCGCCCGCAAAUUGCCUCCUCCACCCAAACCCUAGGCCUCAAGCCCACCGCCACGCCCCCCCUCCCGCUCCCGCUCUGCGGCAAUCCCGCGAACACCUCGCGCGCAUCUCCCCGCGUUUCCACGGCCAGCCGGGCAACUUCUCCGAGCGCCCUGGCGAUGGCGAACCACGGGGCCGCGGAGGCCGCCUCCAUUCGCAACGAGGCCCGGGAGGUUCUAAGCCUCUACUCCGACGGCGAGCACGAGGCUGCGCUGGCCCGCGCCGUAGUGCUCGCCGCCGUGCACCCGGGCUCCGCGGUCGCUCUCAACCUCGCCGGAUUGAUCCACCGCCACGCCGCCCUCGUGGCGCGGAACGACAGGGGCGCCCACGGCGACGACGAAGACGGCGACGAGAACGCGUCCGCGCUGGAGAAGUACCACCGCCACGCCGCCCUCGACGCCUUCUCCGCCGCUGCGCGUCUCGCCCCCAACUGCGUCGUCACCAACGCCGACCACGCCGUGGCGCUCGUCCACUGCCGUCGCUUCGAGGACGCGCAGAAGGAGUUUCUCCGCAUGCUCGACACGGUCGCGAACAACGACCAAGCCGACCCGGCGCUGUACAGCGUGGUGUACGACAUGAGCGGGGACUCGAGCAUGAAGGGGAGAAAGCGCGACGCCGUGAAGAGCGCCAGCAUCGCCAUGGAGCGCUUCGCGGAAAAAAUCAACCACAGGAUUCUGCCAUUGGAGGCCGCCAAGUUGCUGGACGCCAGCAAUCUCGGCGGGCCUGCCGCCGAUGAAGCGCGAGAGCGUGCAAAGCUUCUCGCCGAGACCUACCCCUACUCGCCGCGCGCCCAGCUACUCCGCGCGUACAUCGACUUGGCACCAGUCCGUGCCCUCGAUCCGGCAAUGGACAAGAAGCAGCUUCUGCGCCGCGCGCUCACCACCGUGUCUCAAGCGGCAGUAAACUUCGACCUCUCGCUCAUGGUUGCCUUGUUCCACGCCAAGCUCUUGUUCGUCCUGGAUAACUUUGAUGCUGCGGAGCGAGAGUGCCGCCGGGCACUUCGCAUGGAGACGCCGAAUGACCCCAAUUGGGAUGACAUACCUCCCAUGGCUGCUCUUGGGGCAGAUUCUGAUGCCAGAGUAUCUUAUGUCAAGAAGCAGCUCCGUGUCUUGCUCAAGCAGAUCAUAGUUGUGGCUGCACUAUACUGGUCCUCUAUGAAGAAUGCACUGCAGGGCCAACGCGUCGUAUCAGUGACGGUUGACACGCUGCAUGCGCACUAUGAUGGAAUCGACAAGUCGGCAGCAAAGACCAUAUCUGAUGCAACGCGCUUUCUCAAGAAUCAGGAGUCAUGGAGUUUCUGGAUUUGCCUCAAUUCCCGUUGUGAUGGCAAGAAGUUUUCGGACACUAGUUCGCUCUGGCAACACACGUGCAGCAAGCACCGAGAUGAGCUCUGGGGGAAGCUGCAGUCACUUAUAGAUCCAGAGUAUUGGGAAAAUACAUCACAGGAUGAUCACUCGUUGGUUGGGAUAACUCUCAGCCGCCAGUCUGACACCUUUCUUUUACCAAGGGUGCAGGAUAUGUUUGAAUCCUUGCUGCUUUCACCAUCUGUUGGAAUACAGGCAGAGCCCUUCGCUGAAAUGCGACAAAGGAAAUGCAGAGAAGGAUCUGAGAUCCUUGGGAGCAUCAGGGAGAAGCUGAGGUUGUUGCCUAAAGAUACACUUAGCACUGAGUUUCAGGAGUGCUGUUCUGGAAUAGAGAAAUUGUGGCUAAAGUUUCUUGAAGUUACUGUUGUGGACUAUCGUGAAAUCAUUCUUCCCCUUGCGAGAUCAUACCAAUGGAUAGAAUUGAAGAAACGGAUUCCUUUUUAUCUAAAUCAUCCUGGUACCAGGCGUAUUGAAUUUGCUGAUGCCAAUAUUGAUAUUAUAUGCGGAACUUCUGGCCAAUCUGUCAAGGAAAUGGCAAGCACCUCCAGUUCUCAACAAAGCCUUACUGUUUCCAACAAGAACAAUGCUGAUAAAGAAUUGUCUAUCUUGAGUGUAAUCAUACAGUCAUUGUGCAAUCUGAGGCAUUUCAGAGAUAAACUUCUGAUGGGGCCACUUGUAUGGAUCCCGUCAGUUGAAAAUCCCUGCAUUGCACAGCAAUUUUAUGAAAUCUUCUCUUCUUGGGAGAAAAACGACCACCACUUAACCGAUGUUGUACUGACUUGCAUGAAGACUCUUCUCUGCAGAGUUGUUGAUUACAGCACUUUUUAUGAAAAGGUUGGGAAAACUUUUGCUUCUGAGAUUGUGUCCACAAUUCUCAUUGAAUUGCAUAUGUCAGAAACUUGUUCGCGUUUUAGAGAAAACAAGGAGACCAAGAGACAUGUAGUGAACUCAGUCACGUGCGGAGAUUGCAUAUGCCCAACACAUUAUCUUUUUGGGAUCAAAUUCGAUGCUCAAAUCAGCUGUAGGUGUGGGAAGUCUUCCGGUGAAUACCUGUAUACCACACUUUUCCAUAAACUUGAUGUCGGUUCACCUCAAACAGCAAAGAUCAAGUCCUUUGCAGAGCUUCUGGUUCUAUUGGAUGAACAGUUUCGCGAGGACAACAAAUGUGACCAUUGUGGAAGUCUGCAGAAUAUUGAUCUCUUUCUUUCAAACACACCACACUUCUUUACAAUAGUUUUGAACUGGCUGGGUGGCAGUGAAAGCCAGGACGCACUAUCUGAAGUUCUGGCUGGCAUCACGUCUCCCCUUGACACUGAGUUCUUCUGCAGAAGUGCUCAUUCUGCAGCUAUGUAUGCUGUCACCUCCAUGGCCAAGUUGGUAUUGUUCUAAGACUGAAGCAAGGUUCUUAGUUUUGUGGAACAAAACGGAUCAUGGUUAAAUGGCGUUGUCACCUGGUUCAAAUUGCCUAGGUUAUCUUGACAAGGCAUUUUGCUUCUAUUUCUAAAGAAGUGGAUAGAAGGUUUAAACUAUGAUACAUCAUAUCUGAGUUGGUUCGUACUUGGAGUUGGAGAGAUAUUUGCAAGUUUUUGAAUGGUCCUAUCUGUGGCAUAUUUUUUCCUGCCUACUUCACUUAUAUCAAGAUAUUUAGAAGACUCGACAGAAGAAUUUCAGCAAGAAUCAAUAGCUUGUGUGAUCCUUAUGUCGCUGAGUUCUUUUUAUAAACGGUCCAUUGAUUGAACGGUUGAAGAAGUAUCAUAUGUAGGUAAACUGGUUAGACCUUUUAAAGUCUGCUGCUCUCACAAGUAUAUUUUGCAUUAUUUUCCUUCCUUUUAUAGCGAAUAGGAAAUGGCCUCAUCAAAUCACAUGGAGUGGUUGCAGAACAUCUGCUGGAGUAACCUUUUAUCUGCACACUUCUCUCUCUCUCUCUCUCUCUCUCUCUCUCUGUGUGUGUGUGUGUGUGUGUGUGUGUGUGUUUACUCUUCUGUUGCUUUGAGUAUUAGUACAGGCCUAUUGCAAGGUUGGUUUAAUGCUCUGGUUACUUAAUUUGCCUGCUUUUACAUAUGCAAGCAAGUCACUCCUUGCAAAUGCAGUGCAAUUUAGCAUCCAUCUUAUGCUAGCUUGCAAUCCAAACUCCUCUUGCAGAUCUGCUAUGCUGAUGACCGCUACGUCUGCUUUGCUCGCGACGAGGACAAGUGGGUCAUAUAUGGCUUCGAGACUGUCGAGAGAGAAGAUAGUUGGGAGCAUUUGCUAGAACGUUUCAAGGACUGCAAGCUCCAGCCUGAAGUUCU
Molecule: RNA transcript, 3958 nt
Organism: Aegilops tauschii subsp. strangulata
Lineage: Eukaryota; Viridiplantae; Streptophyta; Magnoliopsida; Poales; Poaceae
Source: RefSeq, a predicted model, not a curated record